GACGAACGCUGGCGGCGUGCUUAACACAUGCAAGUCGAACGGAAAGUCCCUGCUUUUGUGGGGUGCUCGAGUUGCGAACGGGUGAGUAACACGUGAGUUACCUGCCCUUGACUUUGGGAUAACUUCAGGAAACUUGGGCUAAUACCGGAUAGGAGCUCCUGCUUCAUGGUGGGGGUUGGAAAGUUUCGGCGGUUGGUGAUGUACUCGCGUCUUAUCAGCUUGUUGGUGGGGUAGUGGCUUACCAAGGCCUUGACGGGUAGCCGGCCUGAGAGGGUGACCGGCCAAAUUGGGACUGAGAUGCGGCCCAGACUCGUACGGGAGGCAGCAGUGGGGAAUAUUGCACAAUGGGCGGAAGCCUGAUGCAGCAACGCCGCGUGCGGGAUGACGGCCUUCGGGUUGUAAACCGCUUUCGCCUGUGACGAAGCGUGAGUGACGGUAAUGGGUAAAGAAGCACCGGCUAACUACGUG
RNAcentral lists this ribosomal RNA (468 nucleotides) under uncultured bacterium. RNAcentral describes it as "partial 16S ribosomal RNA". It matches the Rfam family "Bacterial small subunit ribosomal RNA", at positions 28 to 507 of the family's 1533-position model. The record is from RNAcentral.